Papaver somniferum (opium poppy) is the source of this 121-nucleotide long non-coding RNA. RefSeq lists it as uncharacterized. Lineage: Eukaryota; Viridiplantae; Streptophyta; Magnoliopsida; Ranunculales; Papaveraceae. The record is from RefSeq and is a predicted model, not a curated record. The transcript has 3 exons.
CCACCUAUAGAUUAUAGACCGUUUGUUGAGGCGUGCAUUGAUGCAGAUGAGAAAAGUGAAGCUCUCAAAUACAUUCCGAAACUCACGGAUCUCACAGAAAGAGCUGAGUCUUAUGCUCGUA